AGUAAGGCAAGCUAAACCGAAGCUACUGGACCCCCCAAAAAUGAAGAUUAAAUACUUCUCUUUCUG
Molecule: transfer RNA, 66 nt
Filed under: Moenkhausia costae
Lineage: Eukaryota; Metazoa; Chordata; Actinopteri; Characiformes; Acestrorhamphidae
Description: tRNA-Met
Source: RNAcentral